This 372-nucleotide ribosomal RNA is filed under the name uncultured organism. RNAcentral's name for it is "bacterial SSU rRNA". It matches the Rfam family "Bacterial small subunit ribosomal RNA", at positions 526 to 896 of the family's 1533-position model. The record is from RNAcentral.
CGAAGGGUGCAAGCGUUACUCGGAAUUACUGGGCGUAAAGCGUGCGUAGGUGGUUCGUUAAGUCUGAUGUGAAAGCCCUGGGCUCAACCUGGGAAUGGCAUUGGAUACUGGCGAUCUAGAGUGCGGUAGAGGGCAGUGGAAUUCCCGGUGUAGCAGUGAAAUGCGUAGAGAUCGGGAGGAACAUCUGUGGCGAAGGCGACUGCCUGGACCAGCACUGACACUGAGGCACGAAAGCGUGGGGAGCAAACAGGAUUAGAUACCCUGGUAGUCCACGCCCUAAACGAUGCGAACUGGAUGUUGGGUGCAACUAGGCACUCAGUAUCGAAGCUAACGCGUUAAGUUCGCCGCCUGGGGAGUACGGUCGCAAGACUG